RNAcentral lists this ribosomal RNA (379 nucleotides) under uncultured eukaryote. Its description in RNAcentral is "partial 18S ribosomal RNA". It matches the Rfam family "Eukaryotic small subunit ribosomal RNA", at positions 592 to 976 of the family's 1831-position model. The record is from RNAcentral.
CAAUAGCGUAUAUUAAAGUUGUUGCGGUAAAAAAGCUCGUAGUUGGAUUUCUGUUGAGAGCGACCGGUCCAUACCAUGUAUGCGUAUCUGGCUUGCUCUCGGCAUCCUCUCGAUAGACGUUACUGCGCUUGAUUGCGUGGUGCGGAUCUCGGGACUUUUACUUUGAGGAAAUUAGAGUGUUCACGGCAGGCUUUCGCCAGAAUACAUUAGCAUGGAAUAAUACUAUAGGAUCUUGGUUCUAUUUUGUUGGUUUCUAGAAUUGAGAUAAUGAUUAAUAGGGACAAUUGGGGGCAUUCGUAUCAACACGUCCGAGGUGGAAUUCUUGGAUUGUGUUGCGACGAACUACUGCGAAAGCAUUUGCCAAGGAUGUUUUCAUUGA